Molecule: unclassified non-coding RNA, 276 nt
Filed under: Hevea brasiliensis (rubber tree)
Lineage: Eukaryota; Viridiplantae; Streptophyta; Magnoliopsida; Malpighiales; Euphorbiaceae
Source: RNAcentral
AGAAAAACCAACAAACCCUAAAAGUGUCCGUUCAAUUUUCUUCUUCUUCUUUGCUUCAACUACUCCUUACAUAGCUCAAUUCCAUCCCUUUCUCUCCAGAAAUUUUGCACUUUCAUUAUUCAAAUUCAUACUGAAAUCCCUAAUCCUCUCACUGGGCGGCUCAUUUUAGACAGAUAAUGGAGGGAAUGCCGCACCCAAUACCCCGUACAGUGGAGGAGGUCUACGGCGACUUCAAAGGCAGGCGUGCCGGCUUGAUCAAAGCCCUCACCACUGAUG